UAAACAGAUAGAACACAUCCAAUGGAAAAUAAGCUGGGAAGGACACAAAGAUAAGGGAAGGUGUCCUCCAUUUUGUUUUUACUGUGAGACAAUAAGGAGUCCAGUUUCUUCAAAAUGUUCUCUGUUUAUCAUGAUGCAGUAAAAGAAACAUCAUUUAAACACUAAGGAAAUUUGAGCCACAUAAGUCGAGAAUUUUUCUAAUGUAAAAAUACUCACUUGAAGGAAAGAAUUAAUAAUGUUUGAAGAUAGAAAGAAAGAAAAUGAAGAGG
This 269-nucleotide long non-coding RNA is filed under the name Homo sapiens (human). RNAcentral describes it as "HSALNT0110243". Lineage: Eukaryota; Metazoa; Chordata; Mammalia; Primates; Hominidae. The record is from RNAcentral.